GAAUGUUGAUGCAGACAGGUCCUCUCACUGUUGUGAAGAUUAAAUGAGAUAUUCGCAAAACUCUAAACCAGUUUUUCAGUCACCCUAAUGCACUGGGUAAGAACUAGCUCUGCCUGGCUUUGUGUAUGCCAGCCAAUUUCUAGCCAUAUUAUAUUGGAGGUGAUUGCUUCUCCUGCUUCCAGUGCCUGACCUGUAAAAUGGGGUAUCAUUCACCUCACAGAGAUUGUGGUGAACAUGCUUGCCACUCACGGAGUAAGUGCCUAGUAAAUGUUAUCUUUCAGACUUUGAAAGAAUAGCUUGAGGACCAGUGCUUUAGAUGCCACAUAGGCCAUUGAGAACCAUUUGACACUGGACAGAUAGGAAAGGGCUAUUUAAGGUGGAGGUGGCUGAAACAAUGUCAGCUGAGGUUCUUCUCACCUCAGCUGAGAUAAAUGAGAAGAAAGUAGUCAGGUAUAGGUUUACUACUUACUUAAUAACCAAAUUUGUAGGUCUCUUGAUGGCUUUCAUCUGGUCAGUACCCAAUGCAGUAAACAUGUCAAAUCAGAGAUCAGUGGGAAAUUCUUAGCCCAAAAUAUAAAUCAGUGAUCAGGGUUUUUAUAUUGACUUUCCCAUGAUUAGACUAGGGUUUCUUUGGACUCUUAUUUUAAGUGAAAGAAAAUGUGGGGCUGGGAUAUGGCUCAGUGGUAGAGUGCUCGCUUAGUUAAAAAAAAGAAAG
RNAcentral lists this long non-coding RNA (715 nucleotides) under Marmota monax (woodchuck). The record is from RNAcentral. Lineage: Eukaryota; Metazoa; Chordata; Mammalia; Rodentia; Sciuridae.